This 77-nucleotide microRNA precursor is filed under the name Pelodiscus sinensis (Chinese soft-shelled turtle). RNAcentral's name for it is "miRNA (ENSPSIG00000020233.1)". Lineage: Eukaryota; Metazoa; Chordata; Testudines; Trionychidae. The record is from RNAcentral.
UCAGCACCUGACCCAAAUCCAGUGACGUCAAUGGGUGUCUUUCCAUUGACUUCAGUGGGCUUUGGAUCAGUCCUUAA